AUUGAACGCUGGCGGCAGGCCUAACACAUGCCAGUCGAGCGGAUGAAGGGAGCUUGCUCCUGGAUUCAGCGGCGGACGGGUGAGUAAUGCCUAGGAAUCUGCCUGGUAGUGGGGGAUAACGUCCGGAAACGGGCGCUAAUACCGCAUACGUCCUGAGGGAGAAAGUGGGGGAUCUUCGGACCUCACGCUAUCAGAUGAGCCUAGGUCGGAUUAGCUAGUUGGUGGGGUAAAGGCCUACCAAGGCGACGAUCCGUAACUGGUCUGAGAGGAUGAUCAGUCACACUGGAACUGAGACACGGUCAAGACUCCUACGGGAGGCAGCAGUGGGGAAUAUUGGACAAUGGGCGAAAGCCUGAUCCAGCCAUGCCGCGUGUGUGAAGAAGGUCUUCGGAUUGUAAAGCACUUUAAGUUGGGAGGAAGGGCAGUAAGUUAAUACCUUGCUGUUUUGACGUUACCAACAGAAUAAGCACCGGCUAACUUCGUG
Molecule: ribosomal RNA, 484 nt
Filed under: uncultured bacterium
Lineage: Bacteria
Description: partial 16S ribosomal RNA
Rfam family: Bacterial small subunit ribosomal RNA
Source: RNAcentral